CAGUAAGCCUGGUACCAGACUCCUGUAUCUACACUUGGCAUUACUCCGAACUGCCACCACAACUGCCAGGCAAGUUCCUGCUCCACCCACUAGAAUCCACAAACACCACAUGGUACCAGGAGUGGGCGAAUAAGAGUAUAUGACAAAGGGGGAUAAAGAAAAUGGAGCAGCUAAGAGCUUCACUGGAGUUGAAUUUAUCUGGCAGUUCAGGCAACUGGAAGAGAGUUCAACAGAGAUUCAGCCUGUACAAGCAAGCAAGUGGCUUCAUUGAAAAAGAAGAUAAGCAGAAGAGGUGCAUCGAUAUCAAAGGACCCAGCCUGGCCCACUGUUGGAAGCUACAAAAGCAGCAGCAGGAAAGAAACCAUCUUGGGCCAGGAUUCAGGCUCUGGAAAUUGGACAACUUUCCUGAAAGUACAGGUUAAAAGAGGGAUAAUUGAACAGAUGGGGAGAGGGGUCAUCUCUUAAAAAGCCAAUCUCUUAACAGGAUCUUCCAUUUAGAGCGAUGUCAUUAACAAAUCUCCUAGCAAUUUACAGUCCCCUCUUCUUUUUAAUCCAUGUCUAACAUAAAAUUCAUUUUGAUGUGACACACCGUUUCUGGUUUUCUGCACUUAUGACCCUUUUCAUCUUCCUGCUCCUCCUCAUGAGCAGCUUCUUCAAACCGGUCACCAUGGAAAAAUCUGCACCAGCGCCAGACCACUUAGGUGUGCCCUGGAUUGGUUGGAAUUCUCAGUGCCUAAAUUUGGCUUGAAUGACCUACUCCCUGCUGCUCCUUCCAAGUUUGAAAGCUCCUGUUGAGUGAGUCCAAGCUCCUUGAACACAGCCACAAUAUACAUAGAUUAAGUGCACACGAGGGUGGAUGGGCCUAAAUCACUAUGUGCCUCUCUACAACUUACAUCCCUGGCUAAAUGUUUCUUUCUCUCUCUCCCUCUCCAUCCUGCUGUGUAAAAACCUUUGGAAAUUCUGGACACAUUUGCACACUGAACCUGAAUCAUCUUAUGUGGG
Molecule: long non-coding RNA, 1002 nt
Organism: Mauremys reevesii (Reeves's turtle)
Lineage: Eukaryota; Metazoa; Chordata; Testudines; Geoemydidae
Exons: 3
Source: RefSeq, a predicted model, not a curated record